AUUGCUUCAGUCUUUCAAGUGUGAACAACCAUUUUUGCGGCCUUUUUUGUCCUCCUGCAUCUGCAAUGGCUCCAUCACGCAGACGUUCUGGAACCUUUCCUAAGAGUGGUUUGGUUCCUAAGAGACAAUAUCGCCAAUUCCAGCUCUCCUCACUUGCUACUGAGAUUGCUCGAUUUAUCAAACAUCUCUCUAGCCCAACUGUUCCAGAGAAUCCCUGUCUGUCUCCUCGCAUCCUGCAGAGCACUUCUACGCGUGACAUGGGCACACAGACCUCACCUGACCUGCUUUCCUGAAACAAUACCACAGUUUUCUCCUUAUCCCUCAUGCUGGUCUCCCACUGAUUAUUCUCCUACUUCUCCGGUCGCUUUGCCCGGUUACCAUGCUCCUAUGCCCUCGCCUGACUCUGAGCCAAAAUACUCCCUUGCGUCUUCUGCAGCUGCAGAAAAACAUAAUUUCUUUUAUCCCAAUCAACAUGCUUAACUCCCUUCAA
Silurus meridionalis is the source of this 490-nucleotide long non-coding RNA. RefSeq lists it as uncharacterized. The transcript is spliced from 2 exons. The record is from RefSeq and is a predicted model, not a curated record. NCBI's taxonomy places the organism in Eukaryota, Metazoa, Chordata, Actinopteri, Siluriformes, Siluridae.